Molecule: long non-coding RNA, 842 nt
Organism: Mauremys mutica (yellowpond turtle)
Lineage: Eukaryota; Metazoa; Chordata; Testudines; Geoemydidae
Exons: 3
Source: RefSeq, a predicted model, not a curated record
ACAGAUUCCACAGUCUCACUGGCCACAAGUCCCCUUCUUUCUACCUUCCUUUCAGCUUGUAGGAUACAUGCUCCUAGACUAUAGAGAUGGGUGCAACAGAAAAUCUUAAGACAGAAAGAUAAAAGUGUUGCCUGUUGUUCUGUCCUGAUAUACAUGUUAUCCUGUUUUCUGUCUGAGCUAGUCUGACUACCAGGGCUGGCUCCAGGCACCAGCUUAUCAAGCAGGUGCUUGGGGCAGCAACUCUGGAGCGGGGCGGCACUUUCAGAACAGAAUAAUAGGGGUCAAUUUAAGAAAAGUCUGGAAGUAGCUUCAGAAGAGAGUAGGGAGAAGGAAUAACUUCGAUUAAAGAAGAACUUCCAGCUGGUUGGUUUCCCCUUUCACUAAAGACAACUGCCUGCAGCUACAAAUGUGGAAUGCAAUAGCAGAUUGUACUUCUCCAGACCUGAAAUGGAUGAGACGAACUAAGCCACUGCGGCUGAUAUUUCUGCAUGACUGUUCAGCCUGCAACAAAAAGCUAUUUAUUUUGAACCUGAAAAUCUAUGAGUUCAAAUGAAGAUCACUAUAAAAGAGGUGACCCACAAGAUACGAAAAUUGCCUCUUCUCCAUUCUAUUAGCUGCUGAAGGCCUCCAGCUUCGUAGGUUUCUGGAUGACAGUGAGCUACAGUAGAAUAAGAGUAAAACUGACCUUCCUUUAGGUGCAUGCCAUAUUUUUUGAUUGUCUUAUUGAAUCAACACUCUGUGCCAAAAGAAGCAUUGCAAAUCUUAAAUUAUGUGACACUGGGGCUCCUAGAGCUACUGGAGUCUUAUCAAGGACCCACAUCCAAUAUCUAAAUAAAAGAGAG